RNAcentral lists this ribosomal RNA (409 nucleotides) under Morganella morganii. RNAcentral's name for it is "bacterial SSU rRNA". It matches the Rfam family "Bacterial small subunit ribosomal RNA", at positions 1128 to 1533 of the family's 1533-position model. Lineage: Bacteria; Pseudomonadati; Pseudomonadota; Gammaproteobacteria; Enterobacterales; Morganellaceae. The record is from RNAcentral.
AUGGCGGGAACUCAAAGGAGACUGCCGGUGAUAAACCGGAGGAAGGUGGGGAUGACGUCAAGUCAUCAUGGCCCUUACGAGUAGGGCUACACACGUGCUACAAUGGCGUAUACAAAGGGAAGCGACCCCGCGAGGGCAAGCGGAACUCAUAAAGUACGUCGUAGUCCGGAUUGGAGUCUGCAACUCGACUCCAUGAAGUCGGAAUCGCUAGUAAUCGUAGAUCAGAAUGCUACGGUGAAUACGUUCCCGGGCCUUGUACACACCGCCCGUCACACCAUGGGAGUGGGUUGCAAAAGAAGUAGGUAGCUUAACCUCCGGGAGGGCGCUUACCACUUUGUGAUUCAUGACUGGGGUGAAGUCGUAACAAGGUAACCGUAGGGGAACCUGCGGUUGGAUCACCUCCUUACCU